CCCCCUGCGGCUCCCCUUCCAUCCUUCUCCUCAGAGUUCCUGGAUCCCGCCCCUUUUCCUUUCUCUCCCGCCCUUCUUCUCUCGCUGCUUCCAUGUUGGAAGUCCCCGCCCAUAGCGACGAAAGGAAAACAGCAUCACAACACUCCAGCCCGAGGAGAGCUCAAUAAAGAGACAUUUUCUCUCUCAACCAGUCUGGACAGGUGAGAAAUCGGAAAAGGACUGGAGCCUGUGCUUCCCACCGACACAAAGCAGAGUUGUUAGCACAGGCUUCCUUGUUGGUACACAAACUCCAUCAAGAUUACUUAACUCCCUACUGCCUGAUGUCAGAGUCCUAUGACGGCCUCUACAAAGUCUGCUUUCUGCUUAUUGCUAUAACAAAAAGGAUAUUUCUUCCAGCCCAAGUCAGGCUUGACCCACAGGCUCCUCAGAGACACCGGACUACCUUCCCGCAACUCUGCCAGUUUGAAAUAAUAGAUUGGGGUGGAGCCUGGAGGGAGGAAACCAUCUGUGCCUUCUGCCUGAUCCUGCAAUGAAAUCAUAAACCACGUUUGAGAUACUACACCCACUAUUUCCAAGGGAACAGAUGAUGAAGACAUAAAUAACACAGGGCCAGUAGGUCACUGGAGCCUGAAGUCUGUGAUGGGAAGAAACCUCUCCCAAUAUGUAAUCAACUAUUGCAGCAAUCAAGUGAUAUCCUGAAAUUUAUUAUGCUGGCUUUGGCAGGUGGGUUCACACAAUCAUGAUCUGUGCAGAUUAGGGUAUAGGAUUAGGACCUAGAACAUUUUAAAGGUGCUGUUAAAAGGGAUGUAGUACAUGAACAAUAAUAAAAGUUUUGACUUCAUUA
Heteronotia binoei (common prickly gecko) is the source of this 844-nucleotide long non-coding RNA. RefSeq lists it as uncharacterized. Lineage: Eukaryota; Metazoa; Chordata; Lepidosauria; Squamata; Gekkonidae. The record is from RefSeq and is a predicted model, not a curated record. The transcript is spliced from 2 exons.